UAUACAAAAUAAAAUGUAACUUAUAUAUUUUUCGAAUAAGGCGAAUUGUUUCUACAGGCAACCAUAAAUUGCUAACUAUAAGUGAGAUAAAUAGAAUU
RNAcentral lists this non-coding RNA (98 nucleotides) under Leptotrichia sp. Its description in RNAcentral is "Guanine sequence". It matches the Rfam family "Purine riboswitch aptamer". From Rfam's summary of the family: Riboswitches are metabolite binding domains within certain messenger RNAs that serve as precision sensors for their corresponding targets. RNAcentral also lists the same sequence under 1 other name. The record is from RNAcentral. Lineage: Bacteria; Fusobacteriati; Fusobacteriota; Fusobacteriia; Fusobacteriales; Leptotrichiaceae.